CCUCCUUCUCUGUUACAGUAAUAGAUUACACUGGGGAACACAAUUUUUGUUGAGUUAGGUCUGACAGCUGUUUUUAACUAAUUUUUGGGUGCAGAAUCCAAAACUGAUCUCAGUUUUUCUCCAUCACGUCAAGUUUUUGAACUAUAGGAUCCCCGUUUU
Sphaeramia orbicularis (orbiculate cardinalfish) is the source of this 159-nucleotide long non-coding RNA. RefSeq lists it as uncharacterized. The record is from RefSeq and is a predicted model, not a curated record. The transcript has 3 exons. Lineage: Eukaryota; Metazoa; Chordata; Actinopteri; Kurtiformes; Apogonidae.